CCCUUAGAUGUCCUGGGCUGCACGCGCGCUACACUGGAAGUUACGGAUUGAGAUACUACCUUGUCCGAAAUGGUCCGGGUAAUCACCUAAAAGCUUGUCAUAAUUGGAAUGGAUUAUUGUAACUAGUAAUCCUGAACGAGGAAUUCCUAGUAAGUCCCAGUCAACAGCUGGUACUGAUUACGUCCCUGCCCUUUGUACACACCGCCCGUCGCUACUACUGAUUGGACGUUUAAGCAAGAUUUUUAAACACUGACAGUGUGUAGUUCACGCUAUACUACAGUGAGAAGAAGAUCGAGCUUACUUGUCUAGAGGAAGUAAAAGUCGUAACA
This 329-nucleotide ribosomal RNA is filed under the name uncultured eukaryote. RNAcentral's name for it is "partial 18S ribosomal RNA". It matches the Rfam family "Eukaryotic small subunit ribosomal RNA", at positions 1470 to 1796 of the family's 1831-position model. The record is from RNAcentral.